AGAGUUUGAUCAUGGCUCAGAAUCAACGCUGGCGGCGCGCUUAACACAUGCAAGUCGAACGAGAAAGGGGAGCAAUCCCUGAGUACAGUGGCGUACGGGUGAGUAACACGUGGAUCAUCUACCUCUUGGUGGGGAAUACCUCUGGGAAACCGGAGACAAUACCGCAUAAGCUCGUGAGAGGAAAGCAGUAAUGCGCCGAGAGAGGAGUCCGCGGCUGAUUAGCUAGAUGGCGGGGUAACGGCCCACCAUGGCGAAGAUCGGUAGCCGGCCUGAGAGGGCACACGGCCACACUGGCACUGAAACACGGGCCAGACUCCUACGGGAGGCAGCAGUGGGGAAUCUUGCACAAUGGGGGAAACCCUGAUGCAGCGACGCCGCGUGAGCGAUGAAGCCCCUCGGGGUGUAAAGCUCUUUCGACGGGAACGAUAAUGACGGUACCCGAAGAAGAAGCUGCAGCUAACUACGUGCCAGCAGCCGCGGUAAUACGUAGGCAGCGAGCGUUGUUCGGAAUUACUGGGCGUAAAGAGUGUGUAGGCGGUGCUCCAAGUCUGGUGUGAAAUUUCCCGGCUCAACUGGGAGGGUGCGCCGGAAACUGGAGUGCUCGAGUGUGGGAGAGGAAAGCGGAAUUCCUGGUGUAGCGGUGAAAUGCGUAGAUAUCAGGAGGAACACCUGCGGUGUAGACAGCUUUCUGGACCACGACUGACGCUGAGACACGAAAGCGUGGGUAGCAAACAGGAUUAGAUACCCUGGUAGUCCACGCCCUAAACGAUGCAUACUUGGUGUGAGUCAUUCAUUUGAUUCGUGCCGGAGCUAACGCGUUAAGUAUGCCGCCUGGGGAGUACGGUCGCAAGGCUGAAACUCAAAGGAAUUGACGGGGCCCGCACAAGCGGUGGAGCAUGUGGUUCAAUUCGACGCAACGCGAAGAACCUUACCUGGGCUC
This 940-nucleotide ribosomal RNA is filed under the name uncultured bacterium. RNAcentral describes it as "bacterial SSU rRNA". It matches the Rfam family "Bacterial small subunit ribosomal RNA", at positions 8 to 982 of the family's 1533-position model. The record is from RNAcentral.